AGCGAACGCUGGCGGCAGGCUUAACACAUGCAAGUCGAACGCCCCGCAAGGGGAGUGGCAGACGGGUGAGUAACACGUGGGAACGUACCCUUUGGUUCGGAAUAACUUGGGGAAACUCAAGCUAAUACCGGAUAAGCCCUUAUGGGGAAAGGUUUACUGCCGAAGGAUCGGCCCGCGUCUGAUUAGCUAGUUGGUGAGGUAAUGGCUCACCAAGGCGACGAUCAGUAGCUGGUCUGAGAGGCUGAUCAGCCACACUGGGACUGAGACACGGCCCAGACUCCUACGGGAGGCAGCAGUGGGGAAUAUUGGACAAUGGGGGCAACCCUGAUCCAGCCAUGCCGCGUGAGGGAUGAAGGCCUUAGGGUUGUAAAGCUCUUUUACCCGGGACGAUAAUGACUGUACCGGGAGAAUAAGCCCCGGCUAACUUCGUGCCAGCCGCCGCUGUAA
This 447-nucleotide ribosomal RNA is filed under the name uncultured bacterium. RNAcentral describes it as "partial 16S ribosomal RNA". It matches the Rfam family "Bacterial small subunit ribosomal RNA", at positions 29 to 523 of the family's 1533-position model. The record is from RNAcentral.